Molecule: ribosomal RNA, 730 nt
Filed under: Bacillus mojavensis
Lineage: Bacteria; Bacillati; Bacillota; Bacilli; Caryophanales; Bacillaceae
Description: partial 16S ribosomal RNA
Rfam family: Bacterial small subunit ribosomal RNA
Source: RNAcentral
CGAGCGGANNGAUGGGAGCUUGCUCCCUGAUGUUAGCGGCGNNNNNNNNANUAANNCGUGGGUAACCUGCCUGUAAGACUGGGAUAACUCCGGGAAACCGGGGCUAAUACCGGAUGCUUGUUUGAACCGCAUGGUUCAAACAUAAAAGGUGGCUUCGGCUACCACUUACAGAUGGACCCGCGGCGCAUUAGCUAGUUGGUGAGGUAACGGCUCACCAAGGCAACGAUGCGUAGCCGACCUGAGAGGGUGAUCGGCCACACUGGGACUGAGACACGGCCCAGACUCCUACGGGAGGCAGCAGUAGGGAAUCUUCCGCAAUGGACGAAAGUCUGACGGAGCAACGCCGCGUGAGUGAUGAAGGUUUUCGGAUCGUAAAGCUCUGUUGUUAGGGAAGAACAAGUACCGUUCGAAUAGGGCGGUACCUUGACGGUACCUAACCAGAAAGCCACGGCUAACUACGUGCCAGCAGCCGCGGUAAUACNUAGGUGGCAAGCGUUGUCCGGAAUUAUUGGGCGUAAAGGGCUCGCAGGCGGUUCCUUAAGUCUGAUGUGAAAGCCCCCGGCUCAACCGGGGAGGGUCAUUGGAAACUGGGGAACUUGAGUGCAAAANGANGANAGUGGAAUUCCACNUGUAGCGGUGAAAUGCGUANAGAUGUGNAGGAACACCANUGGCGAAGGCGACUCUCUGGUCUGUAACUGACGCUGAGGAGCGAAAGCNUGGGGAGCGAACA